UUCAAGUUCUUUCCAUACCACUAAAGGACUAAGAUACGGAACAGUGACAGGAUCGGGACUUGGAAGGUGCCAUUCUAAACCUAAAGAAUCCUGUUGAAUAAAUAAAAACCAUAAAUGGGAAAUGCAAAAUAAUACUAAGCCAUUAAAAAAUUCAGUGAUUCCCAUAUGAGUAGAAAAGUAAUAUAAUUGUAUCAUGUAUGUGUAAAUAUAUGUUGUUAAAAUAUAGUUCCACAUAAUCAUAAUUACCUAUUUAGAUCAAAAUUCCCUUGAACAGAGAGAGCAGAUGUGUCAAGACCAGAGGCUGAUGUUGAAAUGCAAGACUGCCUCGUCUGACUUGAAAUGGAGGAUGGAAAGUGCAUAUUUUCUGUUG
RNAcentral lists this long non-coding RNA (370 nucleotides) under Pan troglodytes (chimpanzee). RNAcentral describes it as "long non-coding RNA NONPTRT005403". Lineage: Eukaryota; Metazoa; Chordata; Mammalia; Primates; Hominidae. The record is from RNAcentral.